This 76-nucleotide transfer RNA is filed under the name alpha proteobacterium IMCC14465. RNAcentral describes it as "tRNA-Lys". It matches the Rfam family "tRNA". Rfam says of the family: Transfer RNA (tRNA) molecules are approximately 80 nucleotides in length. Their secondary structure includes four short double-helical elements and three loops (D, anti-codon, and T loops). Lineage: Bacteria; Pseudomonadati; Pseudomonadota; Alphaproteobacteria. RNAcentral also lists the same sequence under 9 other names. The record is from RNAcentral.
GGGCCCUUAGCUCAGUUGGUAGAGCAACUGACUUUUAAUCAGUGGGUCGCAGGUUCGAUUCCUGCAGGGCUCACCA